AUGGCCUUCCAUUCCUCGGUCGCUCCCAUCCCCUUGGCCCCACCUCCCGGCCCCGGAGCCUUCCACCGAGCCCACCGCCCCGCCGGAGCUCCCCGAGCCGGCGCGCCCGGGAGGAGUCUCGCCGCCCACUCGUCUCCCUCGCCCGACGUCGUGGUCACGCGCGAGCAAGGCAAGAACGCCAAGCUCGUCGCCGCUCUGGAGAAGCAUAAUGUGCACUCUCUGGAGCUUCCUCUUAUUCAGCACGUCGAAGGGCCUGUUGCAGACAGGCUUUCAGCUGUCUUGCGGGAUGAAAAGUUUGACUGGGUUACUGUAACAUCUCCUGAGGCAGCUGCAGUGUUCCUUGAGGGAUGGAAGGCUGCUGGAAGUCCUAAGGUGCGAAUAGCAGUUGUUGGAGCAGGUACUGCAAGAACUUUUGAUGAAGUAUUGCAAUCCAAUGAUGGACCCCUUGAGGUUGCAUUUUCUCCUUCCAAAGCUUUGGGCAAAGUUUUGGCCUCGGAGCUUCCAAGGACUAGUGAGACUGCUUCUAAAGUGUUGUAUCCUGCAUCUGCAAAGGCUGGCCAUGAAAUUCAGAAUGGGCUGUCAGCUCGAGGAUUUGAGGUGACAAGACUGAACACCUAUUCAACCGUACCUGUACAUGAUGUAGAUCCACAGAUUUUAAAGCUUGCUCUUUCAGCGCCAGUUGUUGCAGUAGCUUCUCCAUCUGCACUCCGGGCGUGGCUAAACCUCAUGUCACGGGUCGACAAGUGGAGCAACUCGGUCGCCUGCAUAGGCGAGACGACGGCGUCAGCGGCCAAGAAACUCGGCCUGGAGAGCGUAUACUAUCCUGCAACCCCUGGACUCGAAGGGUGGGUCGAAAGCAUCCUGGAAGCGCUCAGAGCCCACAAGCAACCGUCCAAGCCCCAAAGUUUCGGAGAGGAGCAGGGUUGA
Molecule: ribosomal RNA, 927 nt
Filed under: Triticum aestivum (bread wheat)
Lineage: Eukaryota; Viridiplantae; Streptophyta; Magnoliopsida; Poales; Poaceae
Description: partial small subunit ribosomal RNA
Source: RNAcentral